This is a long non-coding RNA of Spinacia oleracea (spinach), 781 nucleotides long. RefSeq lists it as uncharacterized. The record is from RefSeq and is a predicted model, not a curated record. The transcript has 3 exons. NCBI's taxonomy places the organism in Eukaryota, Viridiplantae, Streptophyta, Magnoliopsida, Caryophyllales, Amaranthaceae.
AUUAGUGAAAAAGAAAUAAUAAAAACCUAAAUAAAAAAAACUGACCGUCGUUGUUUAUCUUUUCAUUAGCGCAACUUUUGAUUUUCAAAGCCCAUCUUCAAUUUCACUCCCCUUCAACCUAAAACCCUCGAUUGAACUCGCCUCCAAUUGCGAUUCACCAAUUACAAUUCUCAAAUUAUACUGGCCUCCAGUACUUACAAUUCUUGAUGGGAUAUAGGGUUUGAUUUAUCCUCUUUGUUUAAUUGAUUGACAGAGUUGGGUUCUGAUUAAGCUUUCAAAUUCGAAUAUCGAAUUAAUUCCGUUGAUGAAAGUUUCAGGAUCGGCACUCUAAAGAGGGAAGUGUUUAUGAAGAACAGGCCAUGCCAACACCUGAGGCACUUGAAAAAAAGGGUGAGUAAUGGCCAUGCUACAAACACGGGUGGCCAAUAUGGAUAUGUGCCAGAUUCAGAUAAUUCAGAUGCUAUUAGUUCUCAGAGCCCUUUUAGAACUCCACCUUAAUUAUCAUAUCAACAUGACAAGGUUUCCAAUGCACCUACAGUUGAUAAGCUUAAUGAUCUUAAAGCAUUUAAAGAAGUGUUUCUACAACGCUUUUCAAGAGAUGGCACCCCAAGAGAGAACACUUCAACUAGUUAGACUAGUUAGAUUUUAUAUUGUUCUUUUAGAUUGCUUAUCUUUUAGUUUUAAUUAAGAAUAAAAUACGAGGGGAUGUGAUUUUUCGUUUCACGUAACUUGGAAUUCUUUUCUCAAACAUCUUUUUAGUAAUAAAAUUUUCAUUUGUUUA